CCUAGGGAGGAAAAACUAAGGAAAAUUUGUUGAAUUUUCAAGAAAUUGGUGACUAAAGGUGGUGAGCCCUCGGAUAAGGGUAAAGGUAUUGCACCCGAGGAUCAAGAAUAGGAGUGUUGUAAAUUCCCGUCAAAGUUCAAGAUAAUCUGUAGGCAGUCGAUUUCAUCAAGGA
Molecule: non-coding RNA, 172 nt
Organism: Theobroma cacao (cacao)
Lineage: Eukaryota; Viridiplantae; Streptophyta; Magnoliopsida; Malvales; Malvaceae
Source: RefSeq, a predicted model, not a curated record